AACGCGAAGAACCUUACCUGGGCUUGACAUGUGCCUGACCGCCAUGGAAACAUGGCUUCCCUUCGGGGCAGGUUCACAGGUGGUGCAUGGCUGUCGUCAGCUCGUGUCGUGAGAUGUUGGGUUAAGUCCCGCAACGAGCGCAACCCCCGUCGCAUGUUGCCAGCAUUUAGUUGGGGACUCAUGCGAGACUGCCGGUGACAAACCGGAGGAAGGUGGGGAUGACGUCAAGUCAUCAUGCCCCUUAUGUCCAGGGCUACACACGUGCUACAUUGGCGCAUACAGAGGGCUGCGAUACCGCGAGGUGGAGCGAAUCCCUUAAAGUGCGUCUCGGUUCGGAUUGCAGGCUGAAACUCGCCUGCAUGAAGGCGGAGUUGCUAGUAAUCGCGGAUCAGCAUUGCCGCGGUGAAUACGUUCCCGGGCCUUGUA
This 426-nucleotide ribosomal RNA is filed under the name uncultured Actinomycetes bacterium. Its description in RNAcentral is "bacterial SSU rRNA". It matches the Rfam family "Bacterial small subunit ribosomal RNA", at positions 958 to 1385 of the family's 1533-position model. The record is from RNAcentral. Lineage: Bacteria; Bacillati; Actinomycetota; Actinomycetes.